UGCAUAUCAAUAAGCGGAGGAAAAGAAACUAACAAGGAUUCCCCUAGUAACUGCGAGUGAAGCGGGAAAAGCUCAAAUUUAAAAUCUGGCGGCCUUGCCGUCCGAGUUGUAAUCUGGAGAAGCAUUUUCUGUGUCAGACCGUGUACAAGUCUCUUGGAAUAGAGCGUCAUAGAGGGUGAGAAUCCCGUCCAUGACACGGACCGCUGAUGCUUUGUGAUAUGCUCUCGAAGAGUCGAGUUGUUUGGGAAUGCAGCUCAAAAUGGGUGGUAAAUUCCAUCUAAAGCUAAAUAUUGGCGAGAGACCGAUAGCGAACAAGUACCGUGAGGGAAAGAUGAAAAGCACUUUGGAAAGAGAGUUAAACAGUACGUGAAAUUGUUGAAAGGGAAACGCUUGAAGUCAGUCGCGUUGUUUGGGACUCAGCCUUGCUUUGCAUGGUGUACUUCCCUUUCAACGGGUCAACGUCAAUUUUGGUUGGUGGAUAAAGGCUUAGGGAAUGUGGCAUCUUCGGAUGUGUUAUAGCCCUUUGUUGCAUACACUGACUGGGAUUGAGGACUGCAGCACGCCACUAUGGCCGGGGGUUUACCUCACGUAACGUGCUUAGGAUGUUGGCAUAAUGGCUUUAAGCGACCCGUCUUGAACCACGGACCA
This 648-nucleotide ribosomal RNA is filed under the name Xylodon pseudolanatus. Its description in RNAcentral is "partial large subunit ribosomal RNA". It matches the Rfam family "Eukaryotic large subunit ribosomal RNA", at positions 37 to 668 of the family's 3401-position model. The record is from RNAcentral. Lineage: Eukaryota; Fungi; Basidiomycota; Agaricomycetes; Hymenochaetales; Schizoporaceae.